GUGACAACAAAGGCAUUCUAUUCUAUAUAAGCGUAUGCUUACUUUAUAUAUGGAUGUCUUGUAACAUUUUAACUCAUUUUAUUCCUUCUUUUGUUUUAACUACAUUGUCCCUCUGUUCAACAAUUUGGCCUUGAUGUCUUUUAAGUAAAUUAAUGGUCACAGAUCUGGGAACAAUCACUGAGUGACUUACUGGUUAUGUUUUAAAUUCCAAAAAUGAAUUGGGACUCUGAGAGGCAGAACAAACAAUCAAACAAUCUGAAAGUAUACUUCUGCUAAAAAUCAUGAUGUGUUGGUUGAAUAUACAGCGUCCUCCAUAAUGUUUUUAAGAUUGUAUUUUUUUUUUUCUCUGUACACCAGCCAGCACGGUCGAUUUGCGUAAUGUUUGUUUUUUUUUUUUUUUUUCGUGAACGGGAAACUGCUUAAAGAAGCAUAUGAUCAGUUUGUCCAAUCGUGGUUUAAAUAAAGUUCUUUGAAAAAAAUUCCGCCAAAAAGUACGUCCACGACGUAAGUACGCGCCACAGUCAGCCAAUAAGCGUUCAGAGUCUUUCUAAAAGGCGCGAAAUUCGAGAAAAAUUCAGCUAGGACGAGGAAGUCGGGGGAGGAGCGUUGUCAUGUGUUCGUGUAACAUGGAGGGAGAGUUGUUCUUCAGCGUGCACUGGUAACCAAAGACAAACUGAAAAAGCAAAAGGGGCAGGAUGGUUUCAGCACAACUGGAGCUCCUCUCAACACGACGGUGGAGAAAGUCGGUCCACGUGGUGACAUGAUGCUUAUCAUUGGGAUUGCUCUUUCUUGCGGCGUCGGUCUUCUCUUGAUUGUUCUGGGAUUGCUUGGAAAGCUCGAGGGCUUUGUGAGACGGUGCAGAGGAUGGAUCCAGCCACCAAAUGAUGAUCGCACUGAAAAUUAAACCAUCUUAUGAAAUUUAGCAGAAUGCAGUGAUUAACAAAUCUCAUGUGCUGUCCAUAAGAUGUGGGUUUAUUAUAGAAUGUGUGUCAAAUGUUUAAACUUUAAAAAAUUGUUUUGUGUGUAAGGAAAACACAAGCUCUUAGCUGUAAAUGAGGUUUUACAUGUGAACACAAUGAGUCUAGAACACGACGACAAAGUGAUGCCAGAGUUUCCUCUCAGAUGAGUUUGAAUCUCUGACCUUGUCCUUAACCUCCUAAGACCCAAACUCUCAUUUCAUGAAUUUGUAAUUUGUCUUUGUUAUUUGGACUGAGACCUGGUGAAUGUAAAAACAAACCUGAUGUAGUUUCUGAGAAUCUGAUAUCAGGCUUUGUACAGCAAAAUUGAGGAACUGUAGCCUAGACGACCCAAAAUAAUCAUGUUGACAUAUGUGGGAGGUUAAGGUCAGAGUUCAAAUUUUCUGAAAACUUGAACUCGCAUGUCACCUAUGAUUUUCAUAUUGCUAUCACAUCUAUCUGUCCUACAUUUUGCUGCUUCCAUCAAAGUCAAAAUGAGCUAAUGUUGUUCUGAAAAUGACACUUUCUCAGUUUAAACUUCUGUUUGUGUUCUGCUGUGAAUGUAAUGUGGGUUCAUUGGAUUUGCACAUAUAUUUUGUACAUUGAAACUUUGCGAGGCUGGCCGUGUGUGUGUGUGUGUGUGUGUGUGUGUGUGUGUGUGUGUGUGUGUGUGUGUGUGUGUG
Astatotilapia calliptera (eastern happy) is the source of this 1639-nucleotide long non-coding RNA. Lineage: Eukaryota; Metazoa; Chordata; Actinopteri; Cichliformes; Cichlidae. The record is from Ensembl.